This 966-nucleotide ribosomal RNA is filed under the name uncultured organism. RNAcentral's name for it is "bacterial SSU rRNA". It matches the Rfam family "Bacterial small subunit ribosomal RNA", at positions 125 to 1094 of the family's 1533-position model. The record is from RNAcentral.
CCUACCUCUAACUGGAAGAUAGCCCGAAGAAAUUCGGAUUAAUAUUCCAUAACACUAUAUUAUGGCAUCAUAGUAUAGUUAAAGUUUCGGCGGUUAGAGAUGGGCAUGCGUGACAUUAGCUAGUUGGUGAGGUAACAGCUCACCAAGGCUACGAUGUCUAGGGGGUCUGAGAGGAUGGUCCCCCACACUGGUACUGAGACACGGACCAGACUCCUACGGGAGGCAGCAGUGAGGAAUAUUGGUCAAUGGGCGAAAGCCUGAACCAGCCAUGCCGCGUGAAGGAUGACGGCCCUACGGGUUGUAAACUUCUUUUGUUCGAGAAGAAACCUCCCUACGUGUAGGGGGCUGACGGUAUCGAACGAAUAAGCAUCGGCUAACUCCGUGCCAGCAGCCGCGGUAAUACGGAGGAUGCAAGCGUUAUCCGGAUUCAUUGGGUUUACAGGGUACGCAGGCGGAAAAUUAAGUCAGUGGUGAAAUCCUGCAGCUUAACUGUAGAACUGUCAUUGAUACUGGUUUUCUUGGAUUCAGUUGAGGUAGGCGGAAUGUGUAAUGUAGCGGUGAAAUGCUUAGAUAUUACACAGAACACCGAUUGCGAAGGCAGCUUACUAAACUGUGAUUGACGCUGAGGUACGAAAGCGUGGGUAGCAAACAGGAUUAGAUACACUGGUAGUCCACGCCGUAAACUAUGAUCACUCGUUGUUGCCAACACACCGUCAGCGACUGAGCGAAAGCAUUAAGUGAUCCACCUGGGGAGUACGGCCGCAAGGUUGANACUCAAAGGAAUUGACGGGGGCCCGCACAAGCGGAGGAACAUGUGGUUUAAUUCGAUGAUACGCGAGGAACACUUACCUGGGCUUAAAUGUAGAGCGACGGACCGGGAAACUGGUCUUUCUUCGGACGAUCUACAAGGUGCUGCAUGGCUGUCGUCAGCUCGUGCCGUGAGGUGUCGGGUUAAGUCCCAUAACG